AGAGUUUGAUCCUGGCUCAGGAUGAACGCUAGCUACAGGCUUAACACAUGCAAGUCGAGGGGCAUCAGAUCGAAAGCUUGCUUUUGAUGCUGGCGACCGGCGCACGGGUGAGUAACGCGUAUCCAACCUUCCCUAUAGUAGAGAAUAGCCCGGCGAAAGUCGGAUUAAUGCUCUAUGUUGUAUUUAGAGGACAUCUGAAGAAUACCAAAGGUUUACCGCUAUAGGAUGGGGAUGCGUCUGAUUAGGUAGUAGGCGGGGUAACGGCCCACCUAGCCGACGAUCAGUAGGGGUUCUGAGAGGAAGGUCCCCCACAUUGGAACUGAGACACGGUCCAAACUCCUACGGGAGGCAGCAGUGAGGAAUAUUGGUCAAUGGACGGAAGUCUGAACCAGCCAAGUAGCGUGCAGGAUGACGGCCCUAUGGGUUGUAAACUGCUUUUAUAUAGGGAUAAAGUCGGGGACGUGUCCCCGUUUUGUAGGUACUAUAUGAAAUAAGGACCGGCUAAUUCCCGUGCCAGCAGCCGCGGGUAAUACGGAAGGUCCAGGCGUUAUCCGGAUUUAUUGGGUUUAAAGGGAGCGCAGGCUGAUGAUUAAGCGUGACGUGAAAUGUAGCCGCUCAACGGCUGAACUGCGUCGCGAACUGGUUAUCUUGAGUGAGUUCGAUGUUGGCGGAAUUCGUGGUGUAGCGGUGAAAUGCUUAGAUAUCACGAGUA
This 712-nucleotide ribosomal RNA is filed under the name uncultured bacterium. Its description in RNAcentral is "bacterial SSU rRNA". It matches the Rfam family "Bacterial small subunit ribosomal RNA", at positions 8 to 705 of the family's 1533-position model. The record is from RNAcentral.